This 102-nucleotide microRNA precursor is filed under the name Marmota monax (woodchuck). Lineage: Eukaryota; Metazoa; Chordata; Mammalia; Rodentia; Sciuridae. The record is from RNAcentral.
ACUACAAUUACUGGGUCAUAUGGUAAAUUUAGGUUUAACUUUUAGGAAAUUGCUGAACUGUGUUCCAAAGUAGCUGCAACAUUUGAUAUUCCCACCAGCAAU